Molecule: long non-coding RNA, 1010 nt
Organism: Lucilia cuprina (Australian sheep blowfly)
Lineage: Eukaryota; Metazoa; Arthropoda; Insecta; Diptera; Calliphoridae
Exons: 3
Source: RefSeq, a predicted model, not a curated record
UUAAAAAGGCGCUUUUUGCAAUAAAUUUUGGUAUUUUUAAGCUUUUGUAUUAAAUUUUCUAAGAAAUUGUGUAUUUUAGUUUGUUUUAUCUGUAUUAUUUUAAUUAUUUAACUUUUUUAAAACUACUGCCUUUGAGAUUUGGCGCCAUGAACAGUCAUCGCCUAAGUUUAAUGAAAGAACUGAAUGAUCAUUUGGCUGGUGAUUUACUUUUGUGUUUGGUUACAGAACUUUGUGGAGCUUCCGGUGCGAAUGAAAUUAAUUAGUUUGUAUUGUGUUUAAAAUUUAAACUUUAAAUGUUCAGAACUUACUGCACACAUGGAGCAUCAUUUCCAAACUAUACGCUCCUCAGCCUUUAAAGAUUUUUGUGCUCAACAAUUAUUACAAAAUGUUUGUUAUGUCUAUUAUUACGACUAUGUGGAGCAAUACAUAAUUUUCGUUAUUGAUUCAUUUUCAUUUUGUCUACGUCAAUUGGAUGAUGUAAACUAAGGAAUCGCAUAAAUUAUGAAAUUAUAAAUGAUUUGCAAACUUUGGCAAUGGAAUUUUAUGUGGCGUUAAUGAUGAAUUUCUCCGCGUUUGGUGGUCCCUUUUCGGGUAUACAUCAGUUUGCUGCCAAAUUUGGUCAUGACGCCCAAUCGCCGGGUGCUUUUUCUACGCCUGGCAUUAAUGGUAAUGUCCCGACAUCGGCUGAUAAUCAUGUGCAGCGUUAUCAAACGAAUGGUAAUCAUUUUCAGCAGAAUACACCAAAUGGUAAGUGAGAAAGAGAGUUAUUUAAAAAAUUAUAUCAUUUUCAUUAACGUUCUUUAUAAAAAAAACAAACUUUUUCUAUAGAAAACAAUUCUGAAACAAUGACAUCUUUCCAAUAUUAAAAGUUUCAAAAAUAAAGUAAACUGUCCCCCAAAUCCAUUGUAUAAAACAGUUUAACUAUUCCCAUAUAAAUUUAUCUUAAAAAGAGCAAAUCUUUCCAUAGAAACGUUGAUGAAAGAACAGAACUAGAACUGAAUUAGAACUGA